AGGGAGUGCCCGCAACUACAGACG
RNAcentral lists this non-coding RNA (24 nucleotides) under Arabidopsis thaliana (thale cress). Lineage: Eukaryota; Viridiplantae; Streptophyta; Magnoliopsida; Brassicales; Brassicaceae. The record is from RNAcentral.